Molecule: non-coding RNA, 73 nt
Organism: Cordylochernes scorpioides
Lineage: Eukaryota; Metazoa; Arthropoda; Arachnida; Pseudoscorpiones; Chernetidae
Source: the annotation of a GenBank genome assembly
UCCAGGGUAUCCUAGUGGACAUGGCACCUGCCCGGUAAGCAGAAGGUUGUGGGUUCGAUUCCCGCCCCUGGAC